RNAcentral lists this long non-coding RNA (1095 nucleotides) under Callithrix jacchus (white-tufted-ear marmoset). Its description in RNAcentral is "lncRNA (ENSCJAG00000085092.1)". The record is from RNAcentral. Lineage: Eukaryota; Metazoa; Chordata; Mammalia; Primates; Cebidae.
AGACUGACCAUGAGAAAUCCUGGGAGCUCAGGAAGGAAGGAGCCGCCCAGAAGCAGGAACAGGGAGUUGGUGGGGAAGACCAGAAAUCAGGUCUGUGAAGGUUCCAGAGAGCCUUGGCAGGUGCGUGGGGGGCUGAGAUGGGGGAGGGGCAUUGGAGGAAGUGGGUGCUCUGUGGAAUGUCCACUGUGAUGUACCAUGUUCCAGGGCUGGGGAUUGGUGGAGAGGGAGUAUAAAGCCCCAGGGUUGCUUAGGCAGCGCCCAGGCAGGAGAAGGUGUGCUGGAAACCAGAGCCCUGGUCUCUGUCUAAUUGCUCCUGUGCCUCCCACUUUCUGGCCCUGAGUGUCCUGUGGCUUCCCUGAUAGACUUUCUCCCUGACUUGUAGCUGAACCUCCCACUCGCCCUUGAAGGCUUGGUUUGAACCAGAUAUUUUCGCAGACCCCCUCCUCCAGGUGCCCAACAUAUCCUGUUUCCCUCCCUCCCUUUCCCUCCCAUCCUCCUCCCCAACUCAGAACCCACCCCAUCCCCAUCCCCUUCCCUCCCCCAGCCCUAAGCCACCCCCACCUCUGUCCUGGCCACCUCAGGGCACCCUGUGAGGACCAGGACAUGCGGGUACAGUGGCUGCUCUUUUGGCUCCUCCUGCUGAAGUUUUCAGCCAUCAAUCCACCCAUGGGAGCCAAAAAAUUGGAUAUGUGGAUAUGCCUGUUUACGUCAAAAAAAAAAAAAGACUGUACAUUUGGAAUGCCUAAAAGCACUACCAGCCAUGCAGAAAACAUGAGACUGGUAACUUCCAAUCUUUUUGAAGCAGUGGAAUCCCCUGGUGAUAUCUGAGGGGUGUGAUACCUCUUGGAGGGGGUUGAUGAUUUCUAAAGAUUAUCAUUUUUACUGAAAUAUUGUAAAUGUCACUGACCUUUUCAUUAUUUCAACUAUUAUCAUUCCAGGUGAUCAUUUUUCCACCUGAUUAUUUGUAUCCCGGGCCUGACUUUCUUGGCAUUCUGUGGAUGCUUAUCACUAUUGUGUUUCUGGGAGUUUCUACAGUUGGUCUUUUCCUCUGAAAAAUUAGCCUGUGUGAGAGUAUACUAACUUCCUGUAGAGUCA